AACAACUCACCUGCCGAAUGAAUUAGCCCUGAAAAUGGAUGGCGCUUAAGCGGGCAGCCGACACCGCGCCGUUCCGGCGAGACGAUGCCGGGAUGAGUAGGAGGGCGUGGCGGUCAGUGACGCAGGCGAGGGUGCAGACCCCGCUGAAACGGCCGCUAGUGCAGAUCUUGGUGGUAGUAGCAAAUAUUCAAGCGAGAUCCUUGAAGGGCGAAGCGGGGAAGGGUUCCACGCAAACAUUGAUUGGGCGUGGGUGAGUCGUUCCUAAGCCGAGUGGCAAUUGCUAAGUAGCGGCGAAAGGGAAGCGGGUUAAAAUUCCCGCACACGGAUAUGGAGGCGGCGACGCAAGCAGAGGUAAAUACGCUGGCGAGGGCGCUGGGCAGAGUUGUCUUUUCUGUUUGACCGGCAUCGCGCUGUGUGGAAUCCGCUUAUCGGGAGAAACACGCGCGGGGAGGGGCAGAGCGUCAGGUCUUUUCUGGCGUCCGGCUCGCCCUCGACGGCCCUUGAAAAUUUACCCGCGAACUUUUAAAAUUUCAUGCUGUGACGUACCGAUAACCGCAUCAGGUCCCCAAGGUGAACAGCCUCUGCUCAAUAUGAACAAU
RNAcentral lists this ribosomal RNA (599 nucleotides) under Trichogloea requienii. RNAcentral's name for it is "eukaryotic LSU rRNA". It matches the Rfam family "Eukaryotic large subunit ribosomal RNA", at positions 1284 to 1899 of the family's 3401-position model. Lineage: Eukaryota; Rhodophyta; Florideophyceae; Nemaliales; Liagoraceae. The record is from RNAcentral.